Molecule: long non-coding RNA, 4302 nt
Organism: Orcinus orca (killer whale)
Lineage: Eukaryota; Metazoa; Chordata; Mammalia; Artiodactyla; Delphinidae
Exons: 2
Source: RefSeq, a predicted model, not a curated record
GGAAUUGGGCCCUUCCGAGAUGGGGAGGUGGGGGCGGACCUGCGGGCGGCACGGGUCUUACCCAAGUGGUGGGGCGCUCAGGACCCAACAGCUCGCAGAGCCGCGGCCGGGGAGCCUGCUGGGGACGUCGGAGAAGCAGGCAUGAAGGAGCCGCCUAGAAGAAUCUCCAUCAGUAAUCACAUUUGGGAUACAGGCUCAUUGGCAGACUUGGAAGAGACCUGACAGAGGAUGCUGGUGGUCCCUGAAAGACAACUGUCACAGGAAGAGGAACUUGGUCCACACCAGGACCAGAAAGUGGGAGGGAUCAGUCAUUCCAGACACCUCACAGGGGCUGGUGGUUGAACUCACCUUGACCCAGACUCUCUCAACAAAGAGAGUUGUCAUGCUGCGCUCACCACACCUGGGGCCCAAGCAGACCUCUGGUGGGGACCCCUGGCUGGGUAACAAGAUGGGGGACUUCCCUCAUCAUUCUGCUCUUGGAGCACCCUAAGGUGUGAGUGUCAGGACAGGAAUGGUGGGCACCCCAUGCAUGGCGCUUUGGCAGCAGCCUGGGCAAUAACACAGGCCAAUCUCUGGCUCUGCUAGCGACAUUAAUGCAGGAGCCUCAACUCAGCAGGGGCCCCAGGUGCCAACAACAGCAAAUGACUUCGAGACUGCUUUCCAAGUGCAGUGAGACACAUUAGGGAACACCCAGAAACAUAUGGGACAGGUGGACUUUGCAGGGAAAGGGAAUUCCCACACAGGCAGGAUGGCUCUGGGCUGACAUAAACCGUGGUUUAAUUUUUUUUUUUUUUUGUCUGUGUUGUGUCUUCACAAGCUUUCUUUAGUUGCGGUGAGUGGGGGCUACUCUUCGUUGCAGUGCGUGGGCCUCUCAUUGUCGUGGCUUCUCUUGUUGCGGAGCACGGGCUCUAGGCACGCAGGCUUCAGUAGUUGUGGCACAUGGGCUCAGUAGUUGUGACUUGCGGGCUCUAGAGCUCAGGCUCAGUAGUUGUAGUGCACGGGCUUAGUUGCUCCGCGGCAUGUGGGAUCUUCCCAGGCCAGGGCUCGAACCCAUGUCCCUUGCAUUGACAGGCAGAUUCUUAACCACUUCGCCACCAGGGAAGCCCGCGUGGUUUAAUUUUAAUGAGACAUUAUUCGUAACCAAAUGAUGAAUCCUGUAGAUAUUCAGGUUAUCUAAAAUAAAAAGUGACCAUACUGGAUAUACUGUUUUGUAAUCUGCUUUUUUUUCUUUCAACAAUUAUCAUAAACAUCUUUCCAUAAUUUUUAUUGCUACAUAGUAUUUCUUUCCUUAUGGGUCUACUCAAAUUUAUUGUUUUUAAUCACUUUUAAGUUUUUUGUGUUUUUUUUUUGGCUGCGUUGGGUCUUCACUGCUGCGCGCGGGCUUUCUCUAGUUGCGUCAAGUGGGGGCUACUCUUCGUUGCGGCGCACGGGCUUCUCAUUGCGGUGGCUUCUCUUGUUGCAGAGCACAGGCUCUAGGUGCGGGGGCUCCAGUAGUCGUGGCUCUUGGGCUCUAGAACGCAGGCUCAGUAGUUGUGGCUCAGGGGCUUAGUUGCUCUGUGGCAUGUGGGAUCUUCCCAGACCAGGGCUCGAACCUGCAUCCCCUGCAUUGGCAGGCAGAUUCUUAAUCACUGCGCCACCAGGGAAGUCCCUACUCAAAUUUAUUUAACUAAUCUCUUCCUGCUUGCUUUUGUAAGCUUUAUUGAAAUAUUACAUACAAUAAACUGCGCAUAUUUAAAGUAUACAACUUGAUGAGUUUUGUCAUAUAUGUAAUAUAUAUAUAUUUAUGACGUCGCUACAAUCAAGGUAAUGAACAUAUUCAUCACCCCCGAAGUUUCCUGAUGGCCCUUUAUAAUCUCUCCCUUCUGCCCCGCACUGCCCCUCCCCCACACCCCCCAGACACCAAAUAAUCUGCCUCUGUCACUCUAGAUUAGUUUGCAUUUUCCAGAAUUCUGUAUAAAUGGAAUCAUAUACUAUUCUUUUUGUCUGGCUUCAUUCACUUGGCAUAAUUAUUUUGCAGUGAAUAUAUACUGUUGCACACAUCAGUAAUUUGUUCCUUCUUAUUGCUGAGUAGAAUAUUAUCUUAUGGAUGUACCACAAUUUGGUUAUUCAUUUACUUAUUGAUGGACUUUGAGUUGUCUCUAGGUACUAACUAUUAUACAGAUAAAGCUGGUAUGGACAUUCAUGUUCAAAUCUAGGUGUGCACGUAUACUUUCAUUUCUCUUAGGUAUUUACCUAGGAGUGGAAUAGCCAGGUCACAUGAUAGAUGUAGGUUUAACAUUUUUUUAAACUGCCAAAAUUUUUCCAAAACAGUGGUAUCAUUUUACAUUCCCACCAGUAGUGUAUGAGAAUUCCAGUUCCUCUAUGUCUUCACCAGCAUUGAUUUGGUCAGUCAGUUUAAUCUUAGUCAUUUCAGUGGAUUCAUAGCAGUAUCACUGUGGGUUUGAGUUCAGUUUUCCUGUUCAUUGAUGUUGUUAAGGAUCUUUCUGUAUUUGUAUUCGCCAUGAUCUUUGUAUCUUCUUUGGUAAAAUGUCUAUUCAAAUCUUUCCCCCUUUUAAAAAAUUGGAUUGCUUGUCUUAUUAUUGAGUCAUAGGAGUUCUUUGUAUAUCCAAAAGAAUUGAAAGUAGGCUCUCCAAAAGAUAUUUGUACACCCGUGUUCACAGCAGCAUUAUUCACAACAGGCAAAAUGUAGAAGCAACCCAAAUAUCCAUCAGCUGAUGAACGGAUAAACAAGAAGUGGUAUAUACGUACAAUGAAAUAUUAAUCAGCCUUAAAACGGAAGGAAAUUCGACACAUGCUACAACAUGGAUGAACCUUGAAGACAUUAUGAUUAGUGAAAUAAGCCAGACACAAAAAGACAAGUACUGUAUGAUUCCACUCUAUGAGUUACCUAGAGUAGUCAAAUCCAUGGAAGCAAAACAGAAGGGUGGUUGCCAAGGGCUGGGGAAGGGGGAAAUGAGUUGUUUUACUGAGUAUAGUGUUUCAGGUUUGCAAGAAGAAAAGUUCUGGAGAUUGGUUGCACAACAAUGUGAAUAUAAUUAACACUACUGAACUGAACACUUAAAAAUUGUGAGGGCUUCCCUGGUGGCGCAGUGGUUGAGAGUCUGCCUGCCGAUGCAGGGGACGCGGGUUCGUGCCCCGGUCCGGGAAGAUCCUACAUGCCGCGGAGCGGCUGCCCCUGUGAGCCAUGGCCGCUGGGCCUGCGCGUCCGGAGCCUGUGCUCCGCAGCGGGAGAGGCCACAGCAGUGAGAGGCCCAAGUACAGCAAAAAAAAAAAAAAAAUUGUGAAGCUGGGGAAUUCCCUGGCCGUCCAGUGGUUAGGACUCUGCACUUUCACUGCCAAGGUUGGGGGCUCAAUCCCUGGUCAGGGAACUAAGAUCAUGCAAAUAGCAUGGUGUGGCCAAAAAAACACAAAAUCAUGAAGUUGGUAGAUUUUGUUAUGUAUAUUUUACCACAGUUAAAAAAUGUUUUAAAUAAGAGUUAUUCACAUAUCUAAUAAAUACAGUCAGCUGCUCCGUAUCUGUGAAUUCUGCACCUGAAGACUCAACCAACUGCAGAUCAAAAAUAUUCAAAAAAAAUUCCAGAAAGUUCCAAAAAGCAAAAGUUGAAUUUGCUGCCUGCUGACAGCUAUUUACGUAGCAUUUAUAUUGUAUUAGGUAUUAUAAGUAAUCUAAAGAUGAUUUAAAGUAUAUGGGGGGGGGGCUUCCCUGGUGGCGCAGUGGUUGAGAGUCUGCCUGCCAAUGCAGCGGACACUGGUUCAAGCCCUGGUCCGGGAAGAUCCCACAUGCCGCGGAGCAACUGGGCCCGUGAGCCACAACUACUGAGCCUGCGCGUCUGGAGCCUGUGCUCCGCAGCAAGAGAGGCCGCGACAGUGAGAGGCCCGCGCACCGCGAUGAAGAGUGGCCCCCACUUGCCACAACUAGAGAAAGCCCUCGCACAGAAACGAAGACCCAACACAGCCAAAAAUAAAUAAAUAAAUGAAUAAAUUUAUAAAGUAUAUGGGGGGAUGUGCCGAAAUGUAAAAUCCUACGCCAUUGUACAUAAGGGACUUGAGCAUCCACAAAUCUUGUUAUCCGCAGGAGUCCUGGAACCAGUCCUCUGAGGAUACUGAGGAGGACCAUAUUGUCAAUUGUCUUUCAUAUCGGUCUAUUGCUAAAAUUUCACAUGUGCUGAUGCUCCUUCUUUCCAGCCUUUUCAUUAUUGUGGGUUUGUACCUUUUUAUUUCCUUUACUGGCAUUUUAAUGGACUCUUGUUAACGAGGGGACAUUUUAAAAAUAAAUUAAAAUGGUCAGUCCACCAUCUCAAA